GAUCCUGGCUCAGGAUGAACGCUAGCGACAGGCUUAACACAUGCAAGUCGAGGGGCAGCACAGGUAGCAAUACCGGGUGGCGACCGGCGCACGGGUGAGUAACGCGUAUGCGGAACUUACCUAUCAGAGGGGGAUAACCCGGCGAAAGUCGGACUAAUACCGCAUGAAGCAGGGGUCCCGCAUGGGGAUAUUUGCUAAAGAUUCAUCGCUGAUAGAUAGGCAUGCGUUCCAUUAGG
Molecule: ribosomal RNA, 236 nt
Filed under: uncultured bacterium
Lineage: Bacteria
Description: partial 16S ribosomal RNA
Rfam family: Bacterial small subunit ribosomal RNA
Source: RNAcentral